GACGAACGCUGGCGGCGUGCUUAACACAUGCAAGUCGAACGGAAAGGCCCUGCUUUUGUGGGGUGCUCGAGUGGCGAACGGGUGAGUAACACGUGAGUAACCUGCCCUUGACUUUGGGAUAACUUCAGGAAACUGGGGCUAAUACCGGAUAGGAGCUCCUGCUGCAUGGUGGGGGUUGGAAAGUUUCGGCGGUUGGGGAUGGACUCGCGGCUUAUCAGCUUGUUGGUGGGGUAGUGGCUUACCAAGGCUUUGACGGGUAGCCGGCCUGAGAGGGUGACCGGCCACAUUGGGACUGAGAUACGGCCCAGACUCCUACGGGAGGCAGCAGUGGGGAAUAUUGCACAAUGGGCGGAAGCCUGAUGCAGCAACGCCGCGUGCGGGAUGAAGGCCUUCGGGUUGUAAACCGCUUUCGCCUGCGACGAAGCGUGAGUGACGGUAAUGGGUAAAGAAGCACCGGCUAACUACGUG
This 468-nucleotide ribosomal RNA is filed under the name uncultured bacterium. RNAcentral describes it as "partial 16S ribosomal RNA". It matches the Rfam family "Bacterial small subunit ribosomal RNA", at positions 28 to 507 of the family's 1533-position model. The record is from RNAcentral.